Molecule: ribosomal RNA, 393 nt
Filed under: uncultured bacterium
Lineage: Bacteria
Description: bacterial SSU rRNA
Rfam family: Bacterial small subunit ribosomal RNA
Source: RNAcentral
GACGAACGCUGGCGGCGUGCUUAACACAUGCAAGUCGAGCGGUAAGGCCCUUUCGGGGGUACACGAGCGGCGAACGGGUGAGUAACACGUGGGUGACCUGCCCUCAGCUCUGGGAUAAGCCUGGGAAACCGGGUCUAAUACUGGAUAUGACUCCAUGACGCAUGUUGUGGGGUGGAAAGCCUUGUGCGGCUGAGGAUGGGCCCGCGGCCUAUCAGCUUGUUGGUGGGGUGANGGCCUACCAAGGCGACGACGGGUAGCCGGCCCGAGAGGGCGACCGGCCACACUGGGACUGAGACACGGCCCAGACUCCUACGGGAGGCAGCAGUGGGGAAUCUUGCGCAAAUGGGACGAAAGCCUGACGCAGCGACGCCGCGUGAGGGAUGACGGCCUCGU